CCCAUCACACCUGCCCACUGCACACCCCACCAGGUCUGAAAAGCCAUUAAAAUGUGUUGUUGAACGUUGGAAGAAAAAUGCGGAGUAAUUAGAUUGCAAUGUUUUUUAUUAAGUUAAAAACUCCAUAGGAAACUGAACGCAUGGGAACGAACACAGUGGAUUUUAUUUUUAUACGAGCCUGUGCCUAUGGAAAGCUAGUAAUGAGUAAGUGGCACACUCUUUAAUGCAGCUCAUGUAUGCCUUGCAUUAAAGCUGCCCACCAUAAAUUCAUCCACUUUGAAAUAUAUUCAUGU
Non-coding RNA from Pseudonaja textilis, 293 nucleotides. NCBI's taxonomy places the organism in Eukaryota, Metazoa, Chordata, Lepidosauria, Squamata, Elapidae. The record is from RefSeq and is a predicted model, not a curated record.